This 586-nucleotide ribosomal RNA is filed under the name Sphingomonas parapaucimobilis. RNAcentral's name for it is "bacterial SSU rRNA". It matches the Rfam family "Bacterial small subunit ribosomal RNA", at positions 89 to 710 of the family's 1533-position model. Lineage: Bacteria; Pseudomonadati; Pseudomonadota; Alphaproteobacteria; Sphingomonadales; Sphingomonadaceae. The record is from RNAcentral.
GCCUUAGUGGCGCACGGGUGCGUAACGCGUGGGAAUCUGCCCUUUGGUUCGGAAUAACAGCUGGAAACGGCUGCUAAUACCGGAUGAUGACGAGAGUCCAAAGAUUUAUCGCCAGAGGAUGAGCCCGCGUUGGAUUAGGUAGUUGGUGGGGUAAAGGCCUACCAAGCCGACGAUCCAUAGCUGGUCUGAGAGGAUGAUCAGCCACACUGGGACUGAGACACGGCCCAGACUCCUACGGGAGGCAGCAGUGGGGAAUAUUGGACAAUGGGCGCAAGCCUGAUCCAGCAAUGCCGCGUGAGUGAUGAAGGCCCUAGGGUUGUAAAGCUCUUUUACCCGGGAAGAUAAUGACUGUACCGGGAGAAUAAGCCCCGGCUAACUCCGUGCCAGCAGCCGCGGUAAUACGGAGGGGGCUAGCGUUGUUCGGAAUUACUGGGCGUAAAGCGCACGUAGGCGGCUUUGUAAGUCAGAGGUGAAAGCCUGGAGCUCAACUCCAGAACUGCCUUUGAGACUGCAUCGCUUGAAUCCAGGAGAGGUCAGUGGAAUUCCGAGUGUAGAGGUGAAAUUCGUAGAUAUUCGGAAGAACACC